RNAcentral lists this ribosomal RNA (199 nucleotides) under uncultured bacterium. RNAcentral describes it as "partial 16S ribosomal RNA". It matches the Rfam family "Bacterial small subunit ribosomal RNA", at positions 328 to 539 of the family's 1533-position model. The record is from RNAcentral.
ACGCUCGACACCUACUGGAGGCAGCAGUCGGGAAUAUUGCGCAAUGGAGGAAACUCUGACGCAGUGACGCCGCGUAUGGGAAGAAGGUUUUCGGAUUGUAAACCAUUUUAGACAAGGAAGAAAGAAGACAGUACUUGUAGAAUAAGCUCCGGCUAACUACGUGCCAGCAGCCGCGGUAAUCUGAGCGGGCUGGCAAGGC